GUAACUACAGAUCCCAUAAUUCUUACCUCUGAGGAAGGAGCUCUAAGCUUCAGACAAGUUCUUAGAAAUGCCAAGUAGAGUUACUUGGCAACAAGAAAAAGAAACAGUUUCAGAAGCAGCCAGCUAGAGGCUGGAAUCCCCAACACCGUCUUCCAGAGAGUCUCUUGGGUGGCUCUCAUAUAAAGGUGACUGACACCCGAGGAUGCAGUGAGAUUGACAUCAAGUUUUUCAGCAACGUGUUUAUCAACGUGGACCAUUGCAAGAAACAACUGAGAGUAGCACUGGAGGCUCUGAGAGAAAACUUGAAGCAAACUUCAUACGGGACCAGGUCUAGUCGAGUGAAUUGUGGAUGAAGAAAAAUGCAAACAACUAUGGAAAGUGAAUAAAACAUUUUUUAAGAAAACAGACCAAGCUGUGUGCUACUUUAAUUCUAAAAUAAGAUCAAUGUUUUAAAACAAUGUUUCAGAACUGUUUAUUAAUUUAAAUAAUAGAUUCAUUACCGAGCCCUUGCUUUAAAUGAGUAAAGAGAACCAGCUUGAACGUGUCUUUUAAUGAAAAACACUACCUUCAGGAAUACCACACACCUACUAAAUUGUGGUAGUUAGUAAAAGACGUCAGGUGAAUGGCAUGAUGGUGACUAUAAUGAAGCACGUUGGGGUUGGAAAGGCAAAAGGGGAAAUGAUGGAGUUUCACAUACAAUUACACUUUGGACACGGAAAGACCACCUUUAAGAAAAAAGAAAAAAAAAAGAAGAAAUGAGAGAAUGUGUUUUUCAUUUUUACCCAUUGCUUCUUCCAAGUUUUCCCCAUUAAAUUUGUCAACUGUAGGGUACAUUAUACCAUUGUUAUUAUUAUUUAUCAAAACAGGACAGUUAAUGUACUUGAAAGACACAUUAAAAAUAAGAGUUAGGGUAUAGCCUUUCCAUCGUGACCUUAUUUGGAAUCAGAAUCUUAGUUCACUGUUAGUCAGAUCGAUGGUCUAUACUCCCUGCUCACCCAACUUCAAAGAACGCUGUAGAUGCACUCUCACGAUCUCUUUCCCCUUCCUCUAUAUUGCUGGCACACUUCUCCUGGAAAAACUGUGCUUGGAGUUCUUAUUUUGUUAGAUUUCCAGAACAAAUUUUGAAGUAGAAUCCAUGAAAAAUAACAGUACUGAAAACCUGGGUUCAUUUGUUCUAAUUGUUCCUGACGGAAAGACCAGUAAGCUCAUUUUCUAACCGAUGCUCUUUCUAGUCUUUCAACUCAUUAAAUAAUUUAAUUGAAAAGCCUUCAAAGUUGAACUGAAUUCCCAGGUAACCACCAUCCUUUCCUUUUCGCCUAUUAAAAUGCCUGUUCCUUUUCUCUUCCUCAGAGUGAUUUUUCAAGGGGCUAAUGGUUUUAAUUCAGCCCAGAAUAGAUUUUAUCCCAUAUUUUGUUUUGCUGAAUGGUUCCUGUUGCAAAAAAAGGGAGCGUAUUUGCAGAAAAAUGAGACUUCGAGGCAGACUCAGGGCGGAGGACUGUAAAGUCAGGAAAAGGAGGCAGAUUGUCCAAGGUUGUUUCAUUGAGCUGAUAUCUGUACGCAGCAGUUGCUUUUUCUGGCUUUCUUCUCCACUACUCAGAGCAACCAAGCCCAUACCAUGAUUCAUUUGAAGGUAAAAUUGAAUUAAAAAUGGAAAAGAAGCAGAUAUGUGAGUCUGACAGUUGGUUUUGACUCCCACCCACUGAGAGAGUAAGGACGUUUAUUGUUUCAGUUGAUACCUGGGUUUUGGUGAUAUAUUGUUUGUUGCUGUUAUUUUUUAAAGCUAUUCAGUUACUUUAUUUUGAAAGAUGGGUGUGAGAAAAGCCUUUCUUUUCAUUUGGAACUAGUCCACGUCUUAACCUACCAGUAACAGCAACUGUUCUGUGUCAGUCAUUUUCUGAGCCCUGCUUGGAAAUGAAAUCUCAAGAGACUGGCCCAAUAAGCCCAAAGUACUGGAAAUCAUGUCUGUGCCAGGGGCGCUGCGCUCCUCUCUUUACAUACCAGUGUGUUUGUUAUUGAAAACACAAUGGGAAAACGUUCUGAGCUUUGAAGGAGACAGUGCUAUAAAUAUGUGUCAUGACUAAAACGGUUACGGUUAUAAUUGGGAUGUCUGCCCACUAUCUCUUGUUUCUUAUUUAGUAAACCAUUGAUUUAGAGGUCUGGAAAACAAGAAUCUCUCUGUUACUUUAUAUGAUCAGUUCAGAUAUCCUUAAGGCUCUCUUUCUGAUAAAUAGCCCUUUUCAAGCAACAUUGAAGGAUAUAGAGUUGUCCUGAUAAGACAUAGACAAGAGAUACGUCUAUGGACAGGGCUGACAGGAAAUAGGAAGUGACAAAUAGCAUCACCGGAGGACUCAAGCACUGCUAAGACCCCUGCCAUAUUUCCACUUAUGAUAAUAGCAAAAAACUUUCAGGAAACUCAUUGAAUGGUAAGGCUCAUGUAAGUUAGCCUAGGACAUUACUGACAUUCUCAUUAAGCUUGACCCAUUGUAGAAGUGACCUGAACUCCCCAAUUGAUUCAAUACCUCAUUCAAGCCCUCUGGGAUCCACAUGAGUACGUUUCCCCUACCUGGGGCCAUGUUUCCCAAACAUACAGGUACCAUGUUGAGCCGAACAAGAUCUGCCUCUAAAUUGUGACAGGAAUGGUAGCCUACUGAUGUAAUUCCUUCUAACUCUCCCUGACUGAGAAAGAAGGAUAUCCUCCAUGCUUCACUUCUUAACCACACUUCACUUGUCUCAUUCAGAAUUCAGCAAAUGUUUGGAGGGGAAAGCAGGUCAAAUUUCAGGUUCAAUUCUCUACCUCUCCUUUUCACCAGGAUCAUGGCCUCCCGUCUCUAACACUGCUUCAACUUUAGGAGCUUGACAAAGUUCUGCUGGUUUCUAGAACCCCACAAGCUUCUCUUGGCCCAAAGUCCAUAUUUUCAUCCUCUUGUCUAUUCCUGAAAUCAUAUAUCCCGAGGAAAAAUGCAGCAGAAUAACAGUCUGCCUCUUCAUGAUCUUCUGCCCCCACCUCUCACUAAAUCUUGACCUCUCUAGCUUCAGCCACCCCCAAUGCCUCUAAAACACAUGUACACAGGAUUUUUUUCAUCCAAUUUUCUAGGUGUUCUCAGUGAGCAUUAAUCUCCUGUAUACUACUGCAUUACACCAGAAGUAGAAGUCUUACUUCUUCUACAAUAUCUUACUUAAUCAUAUUUAUAAUUAACAGUACCUUGUGCUACA
Molecule: long non-coding RNA, 3213 nt
Organism: Rhinolophus ferrumequinum (greater horseshoe bat)
Lineage: Eukaryota; Metazoa; Chordata; Mammalia; Chiroptera; Rhinolophidae
Exons: 3
Source: RefSeq, a predicted model, not a curated record